CAAUAGCGUAUAUUAAAGUUGUUGCAGUUAAAAAGCUCGUAGUUGGAUUUCUGGUAGGAGCGACCGUGCCGAACUUGAUUGUUCGAGUAUUGUGUUGUCUUCAGCCAUCCUCGUGGAGAACUUUUCUAACAUUAACUUGUUGGGAUUGGGACCCGCGUCGUUUACUGUGAAAAAAUUAGAGUGUUUAAAGCAGGCAUUAGCUUGAAUACAUUAGCAUGGAAUAAUAAGAUAGGACUUUGGUACUAUUUUGCUGGUUUGCAUACCAAAUUAAUGAUCAACAGGAACAGUUUGAGGAUAUUCGUAUGAACAUGUCAGAGGUGAAAUUCUUGGAUUUUGAUCAGACGAACUACUGCGAAAGCAUUUAUCAAGGAUGUUUUCAUUAA
RNAcentral lists this ribosomal RNA (383 nucleotides) under uncultured eukaryote. RNAcentral describes it as "partial 18S ribosomal RNA". It matches the Rfam family "Eukaryotic small subunit ribosomal RNA", at positions 592 to 976 of the family's 1831-position model. The record is from RNAcentral.